Small nucleolar RNA from Alnus glutinosa, 144 nucleotides. RefSeq annotates it as small nucleolar RNA snoR135. The transcript has a single exon. Lineage: Eukaryota; Viridiplantae; Streptophyta; Magnoliopsida; Fagales; Betulaceae. The record is from RefSeq and is a predicted model, not a curated record.
ACAGCAGAGAUUUAGUGUAUCAGUGUUGUACUACAAUCAUUGCAUUCUGUUACUGAAAGAUUACCCUGAAAAAUUGACUUGGGGUAGAUGGGCUGUUGUCUUUCAUCUCAAUGGUUGAAACCAGCACUUAUGUUCCCCUGCCCA